This 433-nucleotide ribosomal RNA is filed under the name uncultured eukaryote. RNAcentral's name for it is "bacterial SSU rRNA". It matches the Rfam family "Eukaryotic small subunit ribosomal RNA", at positions 592 to 1017 of the family's 1831-position model. The record is from RNAcentral.
CAAUAGCGUAUAUUAAAGUUGUUGCAGUUAAAAAGCUCGUAGUUGGAUUUCUGGUUUAGUGCGCUUGACCCGCCGCCGUUAGGCGUGUGAGUGUCGAUGCGCGCUUACCAUCCUUCUAGAGAACGUUUCUGCCCUUUACUGGGCUUUGGGAUGCUCGCAAUCUAGAACUUUACUUUGAAAAAAUUAGAGUGUUUAAAGCAGGCUCGCGCUAUGAAUACACUAGCAUGGAAUAAUAACUUAGGACUUUAGUCUUAUUUUGUUGGUUUCUAGGACUGAAGUAAUGAUUGAUAGGGAUAGUUGGGGGUGCUAGUAUUCAGCGGCCAGAGGUGAAAUUCUUGGAUUCGCUGAAGACUAACUUAUGCGAAAGCAUUUGCCAAGGAUGUCUUCUUUAAUCAAGAACGAAAGUUGGGGGAUUGAAGACGAUUAGAUACCA